UGCAGUCGUACGAGAGUUUUUAACUCAAGUGGCGGACGGGUGAGUAACACGUAAGAAUUUGCCUUUAGGAGGGGGAUAACAACUGGAAACGGUUGCUAAUACCCCAUAUGCUUUCGAGUGAAAUGGAGUUUUCCGCCUAAAGAGAAGCUUGCGGCUGAUUAGCUUGUUGGUAAGGUAAUGGCUUACCAAGGCGACGAUCAGUAUCUGGUUUGAGAGGACGAUCAGACACACUGGAACUGAGACACGGUCCAGACUCCUACGGGAGGCAGCAGUGGGGAAUUUUCCGCAAUGGGCGAAAGCCUGACGGAGCAAUACCGCGUGAGGGAUGACGGCCUAUGGGUUGUAAACCUCUUUUUUCAGGGAGGAAAAAAAUGACGUUACCUGAAGAAUAAGCAUCGGCUAACUCCGUGCCAGCAGCCGCGGUAAGACGGGGGAUGCAAGUGUUAUCCGGAAUCACUGGGCGUAAAGCGUCUGUAGGUGGUUUAAUAAGUCAACUGUUAAAUCUUGAGGCUUAACUUCAAAACCGCAGUCGAAACUAUUAGACUAGAGUAUAGUAGGGGUAAAGGGAAUUUCCAGUGGAGCGGUGAAAUGCGUAGAGAUUGGAAAGAACACCGAUGGCGAAGGCACUUUACUGGGCUAUUACUAACACUGAGAGACGAAAGCUAGGGUAGCAAAUGGGAUUAGAUACCCCAGUAGUCCUAGCUGUAAACAAUGGAUACUAGAUGUUGAACAGAUCGACCUGUGCAGUAUCAAAGCUAACGCGUUAAGUAUCCCGCCUGGGAAGUAUGCUCGCA
Molecule: ribosomal RNA, 794 nt
Filed under: uncultured bacterium
Lineage: Bacteria
Description: bacterial SSU rRNA
Rfam family: Bacterial small subunit ribosomal RNA
Source: RNAcentral